Long non-coding RNA from Cyprinus carpio (common carp), 875 nucleotides. RefSeq lists it as uncharacterized. Lineage: Eukaryota; Metazoa; Chordata; Actinopteri; Cypriniformes; Cyprinidae. The record is from RefSeq and is a predicted model, not a curated record.
AUUUAAUGUUUUCGUUAAUAAUUAUUUGAAAUUGGCAGAAUUAUAACUUUUUACAGGCCAACAUUAGUUAUGUUAAAUGACAGUUUACCUCAAACGGCUACGUGUACGUUACUCGCAUAAUCGUGUUAAGACGAAAGAUUAAUACAGUUUUAUUAAGUAUCAGACAGUGACGGAAAGCUGAAAUAUGUGAAUAUCUGUUAAAAAAAAAAGAGGAAAGAGUCGUUUCUGACACUGAAAAGCGAAUUUAACAUUUAACGUUAAGUGAGUCAAAUGAGUUAAAAUAAGUGAAUAUGACUUUCUGCUCUAAUACAAAUGCCUGCAGUUGUCCAUAUCGACAUGUAAAUCAUACAAAUUACGUACAAUGUCGCUGGACCGCAGGUCUAAAAGAACCGACGAUCCGGUUCAAAUAAACCGGUUCUUCAAUUCUCGGACAAGAAGUGAUUCCCGGAAAAGAAUCGACGUCUCAGGGCCUCGAUACAUUUUAAAGUGCGCGCACGCACAGCGAGUGAAGUAGGCCGCGUUAGUGAGGUGAUUUUUGAUGCCUGUGUGGUUUAAAGUCUUUUUACAUACGUAAAUAAAGGUUUUUGGUAAGUCGUAAUUCAAAAUGUUGUUUUUUCUUGUCAGAAGAGCACAUGGAUAACGUUACAUUUGUGAGAGAAAAACUCGUCGAGUGCAGUCUUAUCGAGACGUCUAACGGUUGGAACAAACAUGGAAUUCCUUAACCGAGCAGAGUCCACAAAACCCCAUCCAUUUGUCAUGAGGAUUUGAAAAUGCCAGCAGAUCUAUCAGACAUUGAUCAUAAUCAAUGGACAGGUCACCGUAGCCACUGGGAUCCAGUCUGUAUUCAGAUCAGAUGGUGGAUCAGCACCUAGAGA